GUUGGAUAACAACACACGCAAAGGGAGAAUGAGUCUGUUCUCUGCUCAGAUAGAAGCUAUUCUUCUAUUUCUUUACUUCGUUUUUUGCUGCUCUAUUUAUCAGCUCCUUUGAAGAUACCAGUGAUCUCCAAACGCAGAGAUGGCGGAUGAAAGCGAGAAGAACUGCCGAAUGUCGCAUCCCGACCAAAAAUCUACCAGACGUCUAACUUUUCUUCCAGAAUUGAUUUUCCCUGUGGGAUUCUUCCUGACUUGGGUGACCCGACCUGCAGAGGAAAAGAUGCGUGUUCCAGAGCAGAUGAAGCUGAUGGAGAUCGGGUGGAGAUGGCGAGGUGGAGCGAUGUGAAACGGCAGCGUGCUGAAGGUUCAUAGAGAAUCACGUUUAUAGAGACAGCAGCAUGAUUAUAGGUAUAUUGUUUGAUUUGCAUUUUUUUAGAUGUUUAAAUUAUUUCAUGAUAAAAAAAAAGCCAAGAUUAGAGAGAAGAACGUCGUCUUUCCUUCACUAUCUGUACUUGACCUCUUUUGUCAGGCGAAGCUGGAGAGUGUUAGCAGGAAUUAGUCACCAUCGUUUUGGUUUUAUUAGAAGCCUAUUGGCUAAAACAGGAUCUUAUCAGGAGCUUAUUUAAUGAAGACAAUAUUUCAAUAGAUUCGAUGCUAAACAUGAUUCCCAUAAAAUCC
Molecule: long non-coding RNA, 675 nt
Organism: Gasterosteus aculeatus aculeatus (three-spined stickleback)
Lineage: Eukaryota; Metazoa; Chordata; Actinopteri; Perciformes; Gasterosteidae
Source: Ensembl